RNAcentral lists this ribosomal RNA (492 nucleotides) under uncultured bacterium. RNAcentral's name for it is "partial 16S ribosomal RNA". It matches the Rfam family "Bacterial small subunit ribosomal RNA", at positions 29 to 507 of the family's 1533-position model. The record is from RNAcentral.
AGUGAACGCUGGCGGUAGGCCUAACACAUGCAAGUCGAACGGCAGCACAGUAAGAGCUUGCUCUUACGGGUGGCGAGUGGCGGACGGGUGAGGAAUACAUCGGAAUCUACUUUUUCGUGGGGGAUAACGCAGGGAAACUUACGCUAAUACCGCAUACGACCUACGGGUGAAAGCAGGGGAUCUUCGGACCUUGCGCGAUUGAAUGAGCCGAUGUCGGAUUAGCUAGUUGGCGGGGUAAAGGCCCACCAAGGCGACGAUCCGUAGCUGGUCUGAGAGGAUGAUCAGCCACACUGGAACUGAGACACGGUCCAGACUCCUACGGGAGGCAGCAGUGGGGAAUAUUGGACAAUGGGAGCAAGCCUGAUCCAGCCAUACCGCGUGGGUGAAGAAGGCCUUCGGGUUGUAAAGCCCUUUUGUUGGGAAAGAAAAGCAGCAGGUUAAUACCCCGCUGUUCUGACGGUACCCAAAGAAUAAGCACCGGCUAACUUCGUG